RNAcentral lists this small RNA (567 nucleotides) under Pan troglodytes (chimpanzee). Its description in RNAcentral is "retained intron". Lineage: Eukaryota; Metazoa; Chordata; Mammalia; Primates; Hominidae. The record is from RNAcentral.
CCUGCUCAUCUGCCGCUCCCUUUGCCGCCGCCUUAGCCCGGGACCCGAACCCAGCCUCUCCCCUACCCGAACACCGGCCCCGGCUCCACCGAGGCCCGGGUCCCCCAGCCCCGUCUCGCCGCCGCCAUGGCGGACCCUAAAUACGCCGACCUUCCCGGCAUUGCCAGGAAUGAGCCAGAUGUUUAUGAAACCAGCGACCUACCUGAGGAUGAUCAAGCGGAGUUCGAUGCGGAGGAGCUGACAAGCACAAGUGUGGAACACAUCAUUGUCAAUCCUAAUGCUGCCUAUGACAAGUUCAAGGACAAGAGAGUGGGGACAAAGGGACUUGAUUUCUCAGAUCGUAUUGGAAAAACCAAGAGGACAGGAUAUGAAUCUGGAGAAUAUGAGAUGCUUGGAGAGGGUCUGGGAGUGAAGGAGACACCCCAGCAAAAGUACCAGCGCCUACUGCAUGAGGUCCAAGAGCUGACAACUGAAGUUGAAAAAAUCAAGGUAACUACAAACUCUCUUCUCCCUUCUCUGCUGUGACUUACACAGUAGAGGAAGACCUCAAGCAAGAAGAGAAAGAUU